UAGCUACAGGCUUAACACAUGCAAGUCGAGGGGCAGCAUGGUCUUAGCUUGCUAAGGCCGAUGGCGACCGGCGCACGGGUGAGUAACACGUAUCCAACCUGCCGUCUACUCUUGGACAGCCUUCUGAAAGGAAGAUUAAUACAAGAUGGCAUCAUGAGUCCGCAUGUUCACAUGAUUAAAGGUAUUCCGGUAGACGAUGGGGAUGCGUUCCAUUAGAUAGUAGGCGGGGUAACGGCCCACCUAGUCUUCGAUGGAUAGGGGUUCUGAGAGGAAGGUCCCCCACAUUGGAACUGAGACACGGUCCAAACUCCUACGGGAGGCAGCAGUGAGGAAUAUUGGUCAAUGGGCGAGAGCCUGAACCAGCCAAGUAGCGUGAAGGAUGACUGCCCUAUGGGUUGUAAACUUCUUUUAUAAAGGAAUAAAGUCGGGUAUGGAUACCCGUUUGCAUGUACUUUAUGAAUAAGGAUCGGCUAACUCCGUGCCAGCAGCCGCGGUAAUACGGAGGAUCCGAGCGUUAUCCGGAUUUAUUGGGUUUAAAGGGAGCGUAGAUGGAUGUUUAAGUCAGUUGUGAAAGUUUGCGGCUCAACCGUAAAAUUGCAGUUGAUACUGGAUAUCUUGAGUGCAGUUGAGGCAGGCGGAAUUCGUGGUGUAGCGGUGAAAUGCUUAGAUAUCACGAAGAACUCCGAUUGCGAAGGCAGCCUGCUAAGCUGCAACUGACAUUGAGGCUCGAAAGUGUGGGUAUCAAACAGGAUUAGAUACCCUGGUAGUCCACACGGUAAACGAUGAAUACUCGCUGUUUGCGAUAUACUGCAAGCGGCCAAGCGAAAGCGUUAAGUAUUCCACCUGGGGAGUACGCCGGCAACGGUGAAACUCAAAGGAAUUGACGGGGGCCCGCACAAGCGGAGGAACAUGUGGUUUAAUUCGAUGAUACGCGAGGAACCUUACCCGGGCUUAAAUUGCAGAUGAAUUACGGUGAAAGCCGUAAGCCGCAAGGCAUCUGUGAAGGUGCUGCAUGGUUGUCGUCAGCUCGUGCCGUGAGGUGUCGGCUUAAGUGCCAUAACGAGCGCAACCCUUGUUGUCAGUUACUAACAGGUUCCGCUGAGGACUCUGACAAGACUGCCAUCGUAAGAUGUGAGGAAGGUGGGGAUGACGUCAAAUCAGCACGGCCCUUACGUCCGGGGCUACACACGUGUUACAAUGGGGGGUACAGAGGGCCGCUACCACGCGAGUGGAUGCCAAUCCCCAAAACCUCUCUCAGUUCGGACUGGAGUCUGCAACCCGACUCCACGAAGCUGGAUUCGCUAGUAAUCGCGCAUCAGCCACGGCGCGGUGAAUACGUUCCCGGGCCUUGUACACACCGCCCGUCAAGCCAUGGGAGCCGGGGGUACCUGAAGUGCGUAACCGCGAGGAGCGCCCUAGGGUAAAACUGGUGACUGGGGCUAAGUCGU
RNAcentral lists this ribosomal RNA (1448 nucleotides) under uncultured organism. Its description in RNAcentral is "SSU rRNA". It matches the Rfam family "Bacterial small subunit ribosomal RNA". The record is from RNAcentral.